GGAAACCUCUCAGGAGACAGCUAGUC
Molecule: non-coding RNA, 26 nt
Filed under: Mus musculus (house mouse)
Lineage: Eukaryota; Metazoa; Chordata; Mammalia; Rodentia; Muridae
Source: RNAcentral